RNAcentral lists this ribosomal RNA (767 nucleotides) under uncultured Granulicatella sp. RNAcentral's name for it is "bacterial SSU rRNA". It matches the Rfam family "Bacterial small subunit ribosomal RNA", at positions 28 to 776 of the family's 1533-position model. Lineage: Bacteria; Bacillati; Bacillota; Bacilli; Lactobacillales; Carnobacteriaceae. The record is from RNAcentral.
GACGAACGCUGGCGGCGUGCAUAAUACAUGCAAGUCGAACGAGAGCGACCGGUGCUUGCACUGGUCAAUCUAGUGGCGAACGGGUGGGUAACACGUGGGUAACCUGCCCAUCAGAGGGGGAUAACAUUCGGAAACGGAUGCUAAAACCGCAUAGGUCCUUUAACCGCAUGGUUGAAGGAGGAAAAGAGGCGCAAGCUUCUGCUGAUGGAUGGACCCGCGGUGCAUUAGCUAGUUGGUGAGGUAACGGCUCACCAAGGCCGUGAUGCAUAGCCGACCUGAGAGGGUGAUCGGCCACAUUGGGACUGAGACACGGCCCAAACUCCUACGGGAGGCAGCAGUAGGGAAUCUUCCGCAAUGGACGCAAGUCUGACGGAGCAACGCCGCGUGAGUGAAGAAGGUUUUCGGAUCGUAAAACUCUGUUGUUAGAGAAGAACAAGUGCUAGAGUAACUGUUAGCGCCUUGACGGUAUCUAACCAGAAAGCCACGGCUAACUACGUGCCAGCAGCCGCGGUAAUACGUAGGUGGCAAGCGUUGUCCGGAUUUAUUGGGCGUAAAGCGAGCGCAGGCGGUUCCUUAAGUCUGAUGUGAAAGCCCCCGGCUCAACCGGGGAGGGUCAUUGGAAACUGGGGAACUUGAGUGCAGAAGAGGAGAGUGGAAUUCCAUGUGUAGCGGUGAAAUGCGUAGAUAUAUGGAGGAACACCAGUGGCGAAGGCGACUCUCUGGUCUGUAACUGACGCUGAGGCUCGAAAGCGUGGGUAGCAAACAGG